GAUCCAGCAAUGCCGCGUGAGUGAUGAAGGGCCUUCGGGUGUAAAGCUCUUCGCACGCGACGAUGAUGACGGUAGCGUGAGAAGAAGCCCCGGCUAACUUCGUGCCAGCAGCCGCGGUAAUACGAAGGGGGCUAGCGUUGUUCGGAAUUACUGGGCGUAAAGGGCGCGUAGGCGGUGUGUCAAGUCAGGCGUGAAAGCCCCGGGCUCAACCUGGGAACCGCGCUUGAGACUGGCACGCUAGAGUUCGGGAGAGGAUGGUGGAAUUCCCAGUGUAGAGGUGAAAUUCGUAGAUAUUGGGAAGAACACCGAUGGCGAAGGCAGCCAUCUGGACCGACACUGACGCUGAGGCGCGAAAGCGUGGGGAGCAAACAGGAUUAGAUACCCUGGUAGUCCACGCCGUAAACGAUGAGUGCUAGACGUCGGGGGUCCUCAGGGCUUCGGUGUCGCAGCUAACGCGUUAAGCACUCCGCCUGGGGAGUACGGCCGCAAGGUUA
This 494-nucleotide ribosomal RNA is filed under the name uncultured Pseudomonadota bacterium. Its description in RNAcentral is "bacterial SSU rRNA". It matches the Rfam family "Bacterial small subunit ribosomal RNA", at positions 385 to 896 of the family's 1533-position model. The record is from RNAcentral. Lineage: Bacteria; Pseudomonadati; Pseudomonadota.